UGCGAGGGAUGAGUCUGGCCAGGAACAUGAGGGAUUCCCAGUGUGGAGCCUCUUUACUGGUGACCCCACACACAUAGCUAUAGGACCGACAGUCUCCCUACACACACACACAGAGAGAGAACAGGUUAGCAGCCUCUUUACUGGUGACCCCACACACAUAGCUAUAGGACCGACAGUCUCCCUACACACACACACACAGAGAGACAGAGAGAGAACAGGUUAGCAGCCUCUUUACUGGUGACCCCACACACAUAGCUAUAGGACCGACAGUCUCCCUACACACACACACACAGAGAGAGAGAGAGAGAGCAGGUUAGCAGCCUCUUUACUGGUGACCCCACACACAUACCUAUAGGACUGACAGUCACCCAACACACACACACAGAGAGAGAGAGCAGGUUAGGAGCCUCUUUACUGGUGACCCCACACACACAUAGCUAUAGGACCGACAGUCACCCUACACACACACAGACAGACAGAGAGAACACACGCUAAAGCUUACGCUAUGAUCACUUAUAUAAGCUGUAGAGGUUCACUUGACCAACACUUCAGUAUUGUGAUGAUUAGUUAAUCAAAAGUGAUCUAUCGGGUCCAUCCUUCACAUUUAGACUUCACUAUGAGACUCUGGGGUUAUUUGAGGCCUUUCUCUUCUCCCUCUGCUCCCAGACAAACUCCACAGAGAACAAUAAGCCCCUCUCUGUUAAUACACUCCUGUCUCUCUCCUGGUCCACUUACCAAAACACAGUCACACUUUCUGAGGUAAAAAUAGCGCUCCGUCUCUCCUGCCUCCCUUAUCCAACACACAUUCACUGUUUCUGGGAUAAAUAUAUCCCUCAGUGGCUUUCAGCAGGAAGGGUGGAGGAGACAUCCACCACUGAAUGGGCGGAGCCAGCUGUGUCAUCAUUCCAUUACCAUGCACUUGUCAACAGACAGACAUUGUUGAACCACAGCCUGAAGGACAUUAACAGACAGAGCAGUAAAAUCUCCAAAAUACCCGUUGACAGACAUUGCCCAUGAACCAUAGAUCUAGGAUCAGAUUACCCCCUCCCCAAAACUAACCUUUAGCUGGAUAAACAAAUAUAUCUGACCCGGUAUCAGCGAUUAUGGGAAGAGGUCUACCAACUCAGCCCUGGCAGUAGCAGUGCCAUCCUGUUAUAGUGAGAGAGGGAGAUGGCUGC
Oncorhynchus keta (chum salmon) is the source of this 1178-nucleotide long non-coding RNA. RefSeq lists it as uncharacterized. NCBI's taxonomy places the organism in Eukaryota, Metazoa, Chordata, Actinopteri, Salmoniformes, Salmonidae. The transcript has 3 exons. The record is from RefSeq and is a predicted model, not a curated record.